Molecule: long non-coding RNA, 225 nt
Organism: Cebus imitator (Panamanian white-faced capuchin)
Lineage: Eukaryota; Metazoa; Chordata; Mammalia; Primates; Cebidae
Exons: 3
Source: RefSeq, a predicted model, not a curated record
UUUAUAAACCACAUCACUUGAACCAGUCUUGAAGGGAAGGUAGGAUUUAGGUGUGUGGAAAGAGAUAGAAGCUUUCACUCAUGAUGUCAACAGUGCAUUUAAAGUUUCCUGCAGAGAGGAAAUAUGCAGAUCACAAUGAAGGGCAAUGCUCAGGAAGCUGUUUUCAAGGAGAUCCAGGGCUAGGAGAAAAAGUCUUCAAAAAAUGUCUACCUAAAGCAAAGUGAG